AUUUUUCUGUGGAUCCAAAAAAGACUGAUAAUUCAUGUCUGCUUAAGCAAACCGGUUGUGUCCAGAAGUAAUAAACCCAUAAAUAUGUCUUGAAGGUUGUGGAAUUUGCAUGUCUAUCAAGGCUUUUCCCAUGCCCUGACAGUCAAGGUAGCUCAUGCCUGUAAUCCCAACACUUUGGGAAUCCAAGAUGGGUGGAUCACUUGAACUCCUGACCUCAGGUGAUCCGCCUGCCUUAGCUUCCCAAAGUGCUGGGAUUACAGGCGUGAGCCACCACACCCAGC
RNAcentral lists this long non-coding RNA (281 nucleotides) under Homo sapiens (human). Its description in RNAcentral is "LNC_000830". Lineage: Eukaryota; Metazoa; Chordata; Mammalia; Primates; Hominidae. The record is from RNAcentral.